GUGCUAAUCUCCACUCAGCAUGAUGAGACUGUGACUAAUGAUGAGAUUGCUGCUGAUUUGAAGGAGCAUGUCAUCAAGCCUGUUAUUCCUGAGAAGUACCUUGACGAAAAGACCAUUUUCCACCUUAACCCAUCUGGCCGUUUUGUCAUUGGAGGUCCUCAUGGUGAUGCUGGUCUCACUGGUCGCAAGAUCAUUAUUGAUACUUAUGGAGGAUGGGGUGCUCAUGGUGGUGGUGCUUUCUCUGGGAAGGACCCUACCAAGGUGGAUAGAAGCGGUGCUUACAUUGUCAGGCAGGCUGCAAAGAGCAUUGUUGCUAAUGGACUUGCUAGGAGGUCAAUUGUGCAGGUUUCCU
RNAcentral lists this long non-coding RNA (352 nucleotides) under Durio zibethinus. RNAcentral's name for it is "long non-coding RNA (DZIB_LNC000692)". Lineage: Eukaryota; Viridiplantae; Streptophyta; Magnoliopsida; Malvales; Malvaceae. The record is from RNAcentral.